UGGGGAAUUUUGGACAAUGGGCGAAAGCCUGAUCCAGCAAUGCCGCGUGUGUGAAGAAGGCCUUCGGGUUGUAAAGCACUUUUGUCCGGAAAGAAAUCCUUGGCUCUAAUACAGUCGGGGGAUGACGGUACCGGAAGAAUAAGCACCGGCUAACUACGUGCCAGCAGCCGCGGUAAUACGUAGGGUGCAAGCGUUAAUCGGAAUUACUGGGCGUAAAGCGUGCGCAGGCGGUUUGCUAAGACCGAUGUGAAAUCCCCGGGCUCAACCUGGGAACUGCAUUGGUGACUGGCAGGCUAGAGUAUGGCAGAGGGGGGUAGAAUUCCACGUGUAGCAGUGAAAUGCGUAGAGAUGUGGAGGAAUACCGAUGGCGAAGGCAGCCCCCUGGGCCAAUACUGACGCUCAUGCACGAAAGCGUGGGGAGCAAACAGGAUUAGAUACCCUGGUAGUCCACGCCCUAAACGAUGUCAACUAGUUGUUGGGGAUUCAUUCCUUAGUAACGUAGCUAACGCGUGAAGUUGACCGCCUGGGGAGUACGGCCGCAAGGUUAAAACUUAAAUGAAUUGACGGGGUCAUAGCUGUUUCCU
RNAcentral lists this ribosomal RNA (584 nucleotides) under uncultured bacterium. RNAcentral's name for it is "partial 16S ribosomal RNA". It matches the Rfam family "Bacterial small subunit ribosomal RNA", at positions 355 to 1375 of the family's 1533-position model. The record is from RNAcentral.